This 253-nucleotide ribosomal RNA is filed under the name uncultured bacterium. Its description in RNAcentral is "partial 16S ribosomal RNA". It matches the Rfam family "Bacterial small subunit ribosomal RNA", at positions 524 to 776 of the family's 1533-position model. The record is from RNAcentral.
UACGAAGGGUGCUAGCGUUGUUCGGAAUCACUGGGCGUAAAGCGCGCGUAGGCGGCGAUACAAGUCAGGGGUGAAAGCCCACAGCUCAACUGUGGAAUUGCCUUUGAAACUAGAUUGCUAGAGUGUCGGAGGGGAUAGCGGAAUUGCUAAUGUAGAGGUGAAAUUCGUAGAUAUUAGCAGGAACACCGGUGGCGAAGGCGGCUAUCUGGACGACAACUGACGCUGAGGCGCGAAAGUGUGGGGAUCAAACAGG